GUCUUCGGCCAUACCACCCUGAAUGUGCCCGAUCUCGUCUGAUCUCGGAAGCUAAGCAGGAUCCGGCCUGGUUAUACUUGGGUGGGAAACA
Molecule: ribosomal RNA, 91 nt
Filed under: Oryctolagus cuniculus (rabbit)
Lineage: Eukaryota; Metazoa; Chordata; Mammalia; Lagomorpha; Leporidae
Source: RNAcentral